Long non-coding RNA from Apodemus sylvaticus (European woodmouse), 438 nucleotides. RefSeq lists it as uncharacterized. The transcript is spliced from 3 exons. NCBI's taxonomy places the organism in Eukaryota, Metazoa, Chordata, Mammalia, Rodentia, Muridae. The record is from RefSeq and is a predicted model, not a curated record.
CCUCGUGUAUAUGAGAAGCCCAGAGCACCACUGUGAUAAUUCAUUACAGCUGGGAUUGUCUGGGGCAUCAGAGAAACCUUCAAACAGCAGAUGUCUGGUUAAUCAGAACAGAAGCAUCUUCCUUUCUCAGGAGAGAUUUUGGAAGGAAAGAUGAGCAUGGUCUGUUGCUCAGGAUGAUGACUGUAGUUCCAGCCAUCAUAUCUGCAUUCCACCCUGCAGGAAGGAAGAAAGGAUGACAAAAGGAUUCAUCUAGGUGACUCUCAGUGCCAAACUUUUCUAUAGGACUGGUAAGUUCUGGAAAGAACACACUGGGUAACCAGAUGGUAAGCCCAGUGAUUCUUCUGGAGUCUAGGCACAUUCAUGCUUGUUUUCACCACUCAUUGAUUACCCGUGACUCUGCUUGCACAGGAUCUCCAAAUGUCCUGGUGACAUUUACAA